CGGCAACAGCUCAAAUUUGAAAUCUGGCCUCGGCCCGAGUUGUAAUUUGCAGAGGAUGCUUCUGGCGCGGUGCCUUCCGAGUUCCCUGGAACGGGACGCCACAGAGGGUGAGAGCCCCGUAUGGUCGGACACCAAGCCUGUGUGAAGCUCCUUCGACGAGUCGAGUAGUUUGGGAAUGCUGCUCUAAAUGGGAGGUAAAUCUCUUCUAAAGCUAAAUACCGGCCAGAGACCGAUAGCGCACAAGUAGAGUGAUCGAAAGAUGAAAAGCACCUUGAAAAGGGGGUUAAAUAGUACGUGAAAUUGUUGAAAGGGAAGCACUUAUGACCAGACUUGGGCCGGGCGGCUCAUCAGGGGUUCUCCCCUGUGCACUCCGCCCGGCACAGGCCAGCAUCGGUUUUCGCGGGGGGAUAAGACCGACGGGAACGUAGCACCCUCCGGGGUGUGUUAUAGCCCGGCGGACGAUACCCUCGCGGGGACCGAGGACCGCGCUUCGGCAAGGAUGCUGGCGUAAUGGUCAUCAGUGACCCGU
This 529-nucleotide ribosomal RNA is filed under the name fungal endophyte sp. DM175. RNAcentral's name for it is "eukaryotic LSU rRNA". It matches the Rfam family "Eukaryotic large subunit ribosomal RNA", at positions 99 to 652 of the family's 3401-position model. Lineage: Eukaryota; Fungi. The record is from RNAcentral.